Molecule: long non-coding RNA, 928 nt
Filed under: Capra hircus (goat)
Lineage: Eukaryota; Metazoa; Chordata; Mammalia; Artiodactyla; Bovidae
Description: lncRNA (ENSCHIG00010009530.1)
Source: RNAcentral
ACCUGCCACCAGUUAGAAAGAUCACAGUGUCACAGGUAUGCUUUUAACAGGAUAGCAACCUCAAAGGUCAAGUUGGGGGAGACGGGGGGCGGGGGAGAAAGCACCCUGGACGGAGAUCAGACUGCAGGGAGGGCAAGCUGCAGGCCCCAUUCUGAGGGUUUCUCCUGGUACUUCCGCAGCGCCCAGGUCCUCCGCUCCGGUCCUCGCAAGGGGGUACGCUCCCUUCCUCCCCACCUGUCCGGCUGGGUUUCCCGGAGUGAUGCCCUAGCGGUGGGAGUGAGAACACGCCGCGCGGGAGCCUCCUUUCGGUUCGGCUCCCCCAGCUGGACCCCGAAGCCCCGGGGGAAGGAAACUACCAUUCAGGGCUCUCCCAUCCCCGCCCCGUUCCUCUCUCCGGCUCGCUGCCCGUCUCGCUUUGAUGCCGCCGAGCCCCAUCGCUACUUCGGGGCGGCCGUCAGGCGGAGGCGGCUGCGAGCUCCCGGGCUCCAGGGACGGAGAUGGGGCAGGGUGAGUGAGCCGGCCCGGCGAGAGGCUCCGCACCGCCCGGCACCCGCCCACGGGCAGAGGAGGCGCUGUCUGGCCCGGCCCGCGCGGGGCAGAGCCUGGGAGAGGCUUGCCGCUCUCCCCUUCCUCCCAGUCCCGGCUGGGAGCCGAACGCGAGCGCGCCGGGGGAGGGAGGAGUGGGAGAGGAAGCCUCGGGAGAGAACAGGGAGCCACUGUGUCCUUUUGAAAAGAAAGUAGGAACGCUGGGUGGGAAAAAACAAAGGCGCCCUCCCAACUUUUCUUCGCGAAAAGUUUUCCCAGGGCGUUUUGUUUGUGCGAACUCGGCCGGCGGAGCCCGGGAUCGCGCUGCCGGCGUGGCGGCUGUGCCUGUGCGCCUCGCCCCGCUCCUCCUCCUUCCAGCCUGGGCAGCUCCGCUCCCUCCCCG